This 765-nucleotide long non-coding RNA is filed under the name Zostera marina. RNAcentral's name for it is "long non-coding RNA (ZMAR_LNC001931)". The record is from RNAcentral. Lineage: Eukaryota; Viridiplantae; Streptophyta; Magnoliopsida; Alismatales; Zosteraceae.
AUAGGUUUCGAAAUUACCUAAUGUGCGUAUAUCGUAUGAUCGACACGGUAAGUUCACGUUUCGUAUGCAUGUUAAAAGUUUUCAUAUCCAAACGGCUUUUAACCGUCGUCUGUUACAAUUUGUAAUUAGGGUUGUAAAAGAACAGAGCACGUACGUUAAUGGAUGGUGAUUCAAGCUAGUAUACACAGAGAUAAUGAAGAAAUGAUAUAUAGGUGCGACAGACGUUGAACACAGAUAGUUGAGAAUUGAAAGAGUUUAAUUUUCCGAUAUGUUGAUAUUGCAGAAGCCCUAAUUGUAAUGGGCCUAAAGAGACCUUCUAAAUAAAUAAUGACUAAAUGUAAUUUCAAAUGUGAAUAUCGAUACCCUCUCAAGCUGGAGAAUGUAUGCCACAUAUUCUCAGUUUGGGUAAGAGUCUUCUAAGAUUGUCUGUUGAUAUUGCGGAAGCCCUAAUUGUAAUGGGCCUAAAGAGGCAUUCUAAAUGAAUAAUGAUUAAAUGAUAAAUGUAAUUUUAAAUGUGAAUGUUGAUAUUCCCUCAAGCUGAAGAAUGAUUGUCACAUAUUCCCAGUUUGGAUAAGAAUCUUCUAAGACUGUUUGUUGAUAUUGCGCAAGCCCUAAUUGUAAUGGGCCUAAAGAGACCUUCUAAAUGAAGAAUGACUAAAUGAUAAAUGUAAUUUCAAAUGUGAAUGUCGAUACCCUCUCAAGCUGGAGAAUGUAUGUCACAUAUUCCCAAUUUGGGUAAGAGUCUUCAAAGACUGUCUAUUGAUG